Molecule: microRNA precursor, 103 nt
Filed under: Marmota monax (woodchuck)
Lineage: Eukaryota; Metazoa; Chordata; Mammalia; Rodentia; Sciuridae
Source: RNAcentral
AGUGGAACUCCUGGGACAAAUGAUAGUUAUAUGCUUAACUUUUUGAGAGACCACCAGACUGUUUUCCAAAGUGGCUGUACCAUUUUAUACUCUCAUUAGCAAU